This 73-nucleotide transfer RNA is filed under the name Arachidicoccus ginsenosidivorans. Its description in RNAcentral is "Sphingobacteriaceae bacterium Gsoil 809 tRNA". It matches the Rfam family "tRNA". Rfam says of the family: Transfer RNA (tRNA) molecules are approximately 80 nucleotides in length. Their secondary structure includes four short double-helical elements and three loops (D, anti-codon, and T loops). Lineage: Bacteria; Pseudomonadati; Bacteroidota; Chitinophagia; Chitinophagales; Chitinophagaceae. The record is from Rfam by way of RNAcentral.
GCGGAAGUAGCUCAGUUGGUAGAGCUCCACCUUCCCAAGGUUGAGGUCGCGAGUUCGAAUCUCGUCUUCCGCU